CAAUAGCGUAUAUUAAAGUUGUUGCAGUUAAAAAGCUCGUAGUUGGAUUUCUGGAUUGAACAUUAGGUCCUUUAGUUAAUUCUAUUGUGUACUUGUAUGUUUGGUUCAUUUUUUGUGUAGUUGUUUGUCUGGCAUUAAGUUGUUGGAUGAAUGUACUCGCAUCUUUUACUGUGAAAAAAUUAGAGUGUUUAAAGCAGGCGUUAGCCAUUUUUGAAUACAUUAGCAUGGAAUAAUAAUAUACGACUUUGGUGGUCUAUUUUGUUGGUUUGCACACCAUAGUAAUGAUUAAUAGGGACAGUUGGGGGUAUUCAUAUUUCAGCGUCAGAGGUGAAAUUCUUGGAUCGCUGAAAGAUGAUCUUAGGCGAAAGCAUUUACCAUGGAUGUUUUCAUUAA
This 393-nucleotide ribosomal RNA is filed under the name uncultured eukaryote. RNAcentral describes it as "partial 18S ribosomal RNA". It matches the Rfam family "Eukaryotic small subunit ribosomal RNA", at positions 592 to 976 of the family's 1831-position model. The record is from RNAcentral.